GAUCCUGGCUCAGAAUCAACGCUGGCGGCGUGCCUAAUGCAUGCAAGUCGAGCGGGGUGACCUUCGGGUCGCUUACGCGGCGGACGGGUGCGGAACACGUGGGCAACCUGCCCUGAGGUGGGGGAUAGCCGGUGGAAACACCGGGUAAUUCCGCAUAAGGUCACUGGCCGGAGGGCUGGUGAGGAAAGGGUCUUCGGACUCGCCUUAGGAGGGGCCUGCGGCCGAUUAGCUAGACGGUGGGGUAACGGCCUACCGUGGCGAUGAUCGGUAGCUGGUCUGAGAGGACGGCCAGCCACACGGGGACUGAGACACGGCCCCGACUCCUACGGGAGGCAGCAGCAAGGAAUCUUCCGCAAUGGGCGAAAGCCUGACGGAGCAACGCCGCGUGUGGGAUGACGCCUUUCGGGGUGUAAACCACUUUUCUCAGGGAAGAAGCAAUGACGGUACCUGAGGAAUAAGGACCGGCUAACUACGUGCCAGCAGCCGCGGUAAUACGUAGGGUCCGAGCGUUGUCCGGAGUUACUGGGCGUAAAGCGCGCGCAGGCGGCGGUAUAAGCAUGGCGUGAAAGCCCCAGGCUCAACCUGGGAGGGUCGUCGUGGACUGUACCGCUUGAGGGCGAUAGGGGCUGGUGGAAUGCCUGGUGUAGUGGUGAAAUGCGUAGAGAUCAGGCGGAACACCCGUGGCGAAGGCGGCCAGCUGGGUCGUCCCUGACGCUGAGGCGCGAAGGCGUGGGA
This 735-nucleotide ribosomal RNA is filed under the name uncultured Acidobacteriota bacterium. RNAcentral describes it as "bacterial SSU rRNA". It matches the Rfam family "Bacterial small subunit ribosomal RNA", at positions 15 to 766 of the family's 1533-position model. The record is from RNAcentral. Lineage: Bacteria; Pseudomonadati; Acidobacteriota.